RNAcentral lists this ribosomal RNA (273 nucleotides) under uncultured bacterium. RNAcentral's name for it is "partial 16S ribosomal RNA". It matches the Rfam family "Bacterial small subunit ribosomal RNA", at positions 524 to 796 of the family's 1533-position model. The record is from RNAcentral.
UACGAAGGGGGCUAGCGUUGCUCGGAAUUACUGGGCGUAAAGGGCGCGUAGGCGGUUCUGUUAGUCAGGCGUGAAAUUCCUGGGCUCAACCUGGGGACUGCGCUUGAUACGGCGGAGCUUGAGGGCAGGAGAGGCUCGCGGAAUUCCCAGUGUAGAGGUGAAAUUCGUAGAUAUUGGGAAGAACACCGGUGGCGAAGGCGGCGAGCUGGCCUGUUACUGACGCUGAGGCGCGACAGCGUGGGGAGCAAACAGGAUUAGAUACCCCCGUAGUCC